Long non-coding RNA from Elgaria multicarinata webbii, 491 nucleotides. RefSeq lists it as uncharacterized. Lineage: Eukaryota; Metazoa; Chordata; Lepidosauria; Squamata; Anguidae. The record is from RefSeq and is a predicted model, not a curated record. The transcript has 2 exons.
CGAGGGCUGAGCUUCGUCAACGCCUCCUCUUCCUUCUCUGCCCGCCGAAGCGGAGAUUUCUCCGGCUGCUAUGACACAAAGCAGAGGCCUGGAGAGGUGUAGUUGAACCAGAGGUCACAGGGAUGAAGUGCUGGCAUUUCUUGAUUUGCAGCAACACUGACGUCAUCUGCCAACCCCCUCAGAAUUCUUCUUCACUCUGAGCUUAGCUGUGCAGAAGUGCAUUUUUCCAACAAAAGUAUUGCUUCCUGGUGCAAUACAAAGUACUUCAUGGUGGCUUUGUCUUGAAUGGACAAUAUUUGAAAGAACUACUUCUGGUGAAGAGGAGAAUUGCUAAAAUGGGUUUGUUGACAUGGAUCAACACAGCUGCCGGAAUUUCUGGAGUAUCCUUGAGGGCAUGUGUAUGGAGACUGUGAUGAUGAGUGCCUGCACUUCAAAAUUUACCACUACACCACUUCUCUUGUCUGGAUAAAGCUUCGGUUUGUUCACCCUCA